CUCAGGACGAACGCUGGCGGCGUGCCUAAUACAUGCAAGUCGAGCGAACCACUUCGGUGGUUAGCGGCGGACGGGUGAGUAACACGUGGGCAACCUGCCUGUAAGACUGGGAUAACUUCGGGAAACCGGAGCUAAUACCGGAUAAUCCUUUUCCUCUCAUGAGGAAAAGCUGAAAGACGGUUUCGGCUGUCACUUACAGAUGGGCCCGCGGCGCAUUAGCUAGUUGGUGAGGUAACGGCUCACCAAGGCGACGAUGCGUAGCCGACCUGAGAGGGUGAUCGGCCACACUGGGACUGAGACACGGCCCAGACUCCUACGGGAGGCAGCAGUAGGGAAUCUUCCACAAUGGACGAAAGUCUGAUGGAGCAACGCCGCGUGAGCGAUGAAGGCCUUCGGGUCGUAAAGCUCUGUUGUUAGGGAAG
RNAcentral lists this ribosomal RNA (422 nucleotides) under Bacillus sp. R-32781. RNAcentral's name for it is "bacterial SSU rRNA". It matches the Rfam family "Bacterial small subunit ribosomal RNA", at positions 23 to 447 of the family's 1533-position model. The record is from RNAcentral. Lineage: Bacteria; Bacillati; Bacillota; Bacilli; Caryophanales; Bacillaceae.